Molecule: ribosomal RNA, 809 nt
Filed under: uncultured bacterium
Lineage: Bacteria
Description: bacterial SSU rRNA
Rfam family: Bacterial small subunit ribosomal RNA
Source: RNAcentral
UGCAAGUCGAGGGGCAGCGGGGAGGUAGCAAUACCUUUGCCGGCGACCGGCGCACGGGUGAGUAACACGUAUGCAAUCCACCUGUAACAGGGGGAUAACCCGGAGAAAUCCGGACUAAUACCCCAUAAUAUGGGCUCUCCGCAUGGAGGGUUCAUUAAAGAGAGCAAUUUUGGUUACAGACGAGCAUGCGCUCCAUUAGCCAGUUGGCGGGGUAACGGCCCACCAAAGCGACGAUGGAUAGGGGUUCUGAGAGGAAGGUCCCCCACAUUGGAACUGAGACACGGUCCAAACUCCUACGGGAGGCAGCAAUGAGGAAUAUUGGUCAAUGGUCGGCAGACUGAACCAGCCAAGUCGCGUGAGGGAAGACGGCCCUACGGGUUGUAAACCUCUUUUGUCGGAGAGUAAAGUACGCUACGUGUAGCGUAUUGCAAGUAUCCGAAGAAAAAGCAUCGGCUAACUCCGUGCCAGCAGCCGCGGUAAUACGGAGGAUGCGAGCGUUAUCCGGAUUUAUUGGGUUUAAAGGGUGCGUAGGCGGCACGCCAAGUCAGCGGUGAAAUUUUCGGGCUCAACCCGGACUGUGCCGUUGAAACUGGCGAGCUAGAGUGCACAAGAGGCAGGCGGAAUGCGUGGUGUAGCGGUGAAAUGCAUAGAUAUCACGCAGAACCCCGAUUGCGAAGGCAGCCUGCUAGGGUGCGACAGACGCUGAGGCACGAAAGCGUGGGUAUCGAACAGGAUUAGAUACCCUGGUAGUCCACGCAGUAAACGAUGAAUACUAACUGUUUGCGAUACAAUGUAAGCGGUGCAGCGAA